Molecule: unclassified non-coding RNA, 700 nt
Filed under: Hevea brasiliensis (rubber tree)
Lineage: Eukaryota; Viridiplantae; Streptophyta; Magnoliopsida; Malpighiales; Euphorbiaceae
Source: RNAcentral
GUCAUUUUUCUCUUGUUUUGCUGGCGCUAAAAUUGAGGAAAAGGCAACAGAGAAGAGAAAACACAAUUACAGUGUAUAUAUUUAUUUUUUAACUGCAAUGACAUAGUUGUAUUUUGUGUCCUGUGGUUCAAUUUGUUUUCCUUUGAUUCAUUUGAUUGUUAGGCAUCUUUCUCUUUUGAAGUUUUUGAAGGGAAGAAAAGAAAGGACAUGACUAUUGAAUUUUGGACCUUUUUUUUUCAUUUGCAAGUAAACUGUAGAAAGGGGAAAUGGGAUUACUAAAUUUUUGUGUUUGAUAGCUUUGAUUUUCUUAUUACUCUUAAAAAUCUUUGGUUUGAAUAAAUUUUUGUGAUUUCCGAAGUUUUGCAUCUGGGUUAUAGAAAAGUUGAAAACCUUCACUAUUCGAAGGCGUUAUCUUCUCAAACUUCUGUUUUUCUGGGCAACCAGAGACUUAACAUGAGCAAAAAGAAUUCACAUACGGCAUUAGGCUUAUUCAGUUCUUCUAUAACUAGGAGAUUUCCUUGACUGAUUUUCUUUUCUCUAGCCAGUAACUUCUCCUAAUUUUUCUCAGAUACUAGAGCCUGUAAGUUCUAUGACAAAGGUUAUGGGAUUUUUAUGUACUGCAGUUUCCUUUGUUUCUCUUUUUUCCUUCCUUCUUCCAGGGUUGGGUUUUGGAUGUUUACUUCCUGACGUAAUAUCUCAG